Molecule: ribosomal RNA, 497 nt
Filed under: uncultured bacterium
Lineage: Bacteria
Description: partial 16S ribosomal RNA
Rfam family: Bacterial small subunit ribosomal RNA
Source: RNAcentral
GAUGAACGCUGGCGGCGUGCCUAAUACAUGCAAGUCGAGCGAACGGACGAGAAGCUUGCUUUUCUGAUGUUAGCGGCGGACGGGUGAGUAACACGUGGAUAACCUACCUAUAAGACUGGGAUAACUUCGGGAAACCGGAGCUAAUACCGGAUAAUAUUUUGAACCGCAUGGUUCAAAAGUGAAAGACGGUCUUGCUGUCACUUAUAGAUGGAUCCGCGCUGCAUUAGCUAGUUGGUAAGGUAACGGCUUACCAAGGCAACGAUGCAUAGCCGACCUGAGAGGGUGAUCGGCCACACUGGAACUGAGACACGGUCCAGACUCCUACGGGAGGCAGCAGUGGGGAAUCUUCCGCAAUGGGCGAAAGCCUGACGGAGCAACGCCGCGUGAGUGAUGAAGGUCUUCGGAUCGUAAAACUCUGUUAUUAGGGAAGAACAUAUGUGUAAGAAACUGUGCACAUCUUGACGGUACCUAAUCAGAAAGCCACGGCUAACUACGUG